AGUGUCGAUCGAGACACCGCGACGGUUGUCACGGGCUCGAGGGGAGUACCGGGCCAUGACACAAAUAUUGUUUUUGGUCAGACGGGGCUUGUAUCUGGGGGUUUAGGGAUGUAAUGCAUCCUACUGUUAUAAUUGAUGUGACACAUCUAAAAGGCAGGUUCAAAGGUAUUCUGUUUGUCACUAUAUGCAAAGAUGCGAAUGAGUGCGUAUAUCCAAUUGCAUUUGGCAUAGGCCAUGUUGAGGAUGAAGACUUGUGAACGUGGUUUCUUAGCAAGUUGCGUGAUGAGAUUGGUUGUCCUAAAAACCCUAUGUUCAUUUCUGAUCAGCAUCUCAGCAUUAAGAAAGUAAUCCAAAAUGCAUACCUAGAAGCGCACCAUAGUUUAUAUGGUUACCAUAUAAAGAAAAACUUUAAAAACAAGUUCAAGCGCGAUGACGUUUCUAUGAUUUUCUCCCUUGCUCGAGAUUGCUAUAAGGUUUUCGAUUUUAACAGGCAUAUGAACCAGCUCAAGCAAAUUCACACGAGAGCCCACUCUAACCUUAUGAGACUAAGCCUUAAGAGAUGGGCAUGUGCACGUUCACCGGCAAGGCGAUGCUAACUCAUGACAUUCAACAUUGGUGAAUGUGUUAACUCAUGCUUGAAGCAUGCAUGACAAAUGUCAAUCACUAUUUUGAUCGAGUUCAUCAAAGACAUGUUCCAGCUUUGGUUCCAUGAUUGGUACCAAAAGGCUGUCAAGGUGACCACACCUCUCGGCCCUUAGGUUGCCAGGUAGUUGAGCAAACAAUUCAAUGAUGCACAUCGCUUUAUAGUUAAACCUAUCAAUCGAGUGGAGUUCGAAGUUAAAGAUGGGAAGAUGGACGAACUUGUAAAGUUGUCCAAGAAGACGUGUUCAUGUUGUGAGUUCCAAACAGAUCUACUACCAUGCAGCCAUGCCAUUGUGACAAUAAGGUCAGGAUAUCUUUAUUUCUUAUUUGAAGCCUAAUUAACAUAACAUUUACAUUAUGCUUGAACAUUGAGUUCAUUGUAUUUUUCAAUAAAUGCAAAUGUGAAGCUGUUGAAUUCUGCGUUGAUUACUAUAAGACAACCGUUUUGAUGAAGGGUUAUGUGGGGUCCAUUCUCCCAAUAGGGCAUCUCAAUGAGUGGGACAUCCCCCUUCAUGUGAAACAAAUUGUCGUUUUGCUACCACCUUGUCGUUUUGUAUAAGUGAUUAUCGACACAUACUGACUCCUUAGUGGUAAUUGUUUGGAAUGAUAACCUUUCUGCACCUAGAAUUAGCCACGUAUGAGAAAUCCCUACAUUUUGCCUUUCUUGAUAACUGUCAUCGAGCAAUAUCUAAGGCAAAUGAAUCUCGUUCUCACCAGCGAUGGGGUUUUUGUAUAUGAGGUCAUCACAUUGAACAUCUCCUACAUCAACACCUCCAACAGGCCCGUCAUCUGAAUUAUCAUCAAAUCUAUCUUCAUCGGCAGGGAACAAAUCCUCAUUUUCCUCAUCAAUUGAGUGUUAUCCUCGAGCAUCGCAGUGUCACCCUCUAACGUCACAAUGUUGUCCUCAAGUGUCGUAGUCUUAUUUGAAAAUGGCAUUACACCCUCUACAGUUUCACCUGAUCGUUGCAUUUGUUGGACAAAAGCAAGUAAUUGGUUCGAUGCACAUGUUGAUCGAAAUUCUGCAGCCAACUAUUUUGUGAAUGUCGUGUGUCUAUCGGGUUGCACAAACUUUGUGCAUACGUCAAUUGCCAUUGUUAUGGGUUACGGACCGAAUGCUGUGGUAUAUGUGAUGCACUAUAAAUCUCAUUUUAAUUGAGCUGAUUACCAUGUUGUACAGCUUCUUCAUGUGACAUAACAUUUGUUUGGCGUUUCUUAAUGGUAACAUACACAGCUGAAACAUUCCUAUGUUCUAGCAAAAUUAAUGCAACAUCCUCAUCAUCCUUGAUAUUUGGGUGUGAUA
This 1942-nucleotide small RNA is filed under the name Theobroma cacao (cacao). RNAcentral describes it as "sRNA Tc01v2_g022940". Lineage: Eukaryota; Viridiplantae; Streptophyta; Magnoliopsida; Malvales; Malvaceae. The record is from RNAcentral.